AAGAGAGAGCUCUGGGCGACCCUAAGGGGAAGCUUUUUUAAAAGUGGCUGAAACUCUCAGUUUUAUAAGAUUAAAGAGGUUGUUAUAGAUUGCCAAUACAUCCUAGUAAUUGGCAUUUAAUUCCCACGUUUUUUUUUCGUUGUUAUUGGUCUUAUAAAGAGCCAUAUUCAUCACCAUAUUCAGUUUCCACUUUUAAUUUUUUGUCUACAUCAGCAUCCUUAUUCAAUUCUCCACUUUUAGCACCAUUUUGCCUUAUCUGUCCUCAACUGAGCUCCAAAAUACAAUUAGCUGCACACUAACACAAAAAGAGUAAAAUGCAACUAGUUUAAUUCAAAAAUAUCCCAAAGGGACUAGGAAUGGAUGAUAUAAAUCUAUGAAAUAUAUGAGUUAUCAAUGCACAACCUAGUGCUCAAAACUCACCCCAACAAUCUUAGACCAAAGACGAGGAAAACAA
This 454-nucleotide long non-coding RNA is filed under the name Malus domestica (apple). Its description in RNAcentral is "long non-coding RNA (MDOM_LNC012819)". Lineage: Eukaryota; Viridiplantae; Streptophyta; Magnoliopsida; Rosales; Rosaceae. The record is from RNAcentral.